This 263-nucleotide long non-coding RNA is filed under the name Prunus persica (peach). Its description in RNAcentral is "long non-coding RNA (PPER_LNC007917)". Lineage: Eukaryota; Viridiplantae; Streptophyta; Magnoliopsida; Rosales; Rosaceae. The record is from RNAcentral.
AAAGAAAGACCUUUAAGCCAACCAUGAAUCUCGUGGAGGCCUUUUUGCAGGAACAUCAUUAUUUUUGUUCUAUCCCAUUUUCCUGGUUACUACUACCAGAUUAGAUAUUGGUAGAAGACUUCAAAGUCAAGCCAUCAAUGACGACAAAGAUUUAAUCUCAUCAAAGCUAAGUGGUGUCUGUUAGUACGAAAAUUGUAUUGGCAUUUUCUAGACUGUAAUAUAGGUUGAAAAUUAGUUUGUGAGGAAUUGCUACUGGAUGUUUU